Molecule: ribosomal RNA, 562 nt
Filed under: uncultured bacterium
Lineage: Bacteria
Description: bacterial SSU rRNA
Rfam family: Bacterial small subunit ribosomal RNA
Source: RNAcentral
CCUACGGGAGGCAGCAGUGGGGAAUCUUGCGCAAUGGGCGAAAGCCUGACGCAGCAACGCCGCGUGCGGGAAGAAGGCUUUCGGGCUGUAAACCGCUUUCAGCAGGAACGAAAAUGACGGUACCUGCAGAAGAAGGAGCGGCCAACUAUGUGCCAGCAGCCGCGGUGAUACAUAGGCUUCAAGCGUUGUCCGGAUUUAUUGGGCGUAAGGAGUUCGUAGGCGGUCGAGUAAGUCGGGUGUGAAAAUUCUGGGCUCAACCCAGAGACGCCACCCGAUACUGCUUGACUUGAGUUCGAUAGGGGAGUGGGGAAUUCCUAGUGUAGCGGUGAAAUGCGCAGAUAUUAGGAGGAACACCGGUGGCGAAGGCGCCACUCUGGAUCGAUACUGACGCUGAGGAACGAAAGCAUGGGUAGCAAACAGGAUUAGAUACCCUGGUAGUCCAUGCCGUAAACGGUGGGCACUAGGUGUGGGUUUCUAUUAACGAAAUCCGCGCCGUCGCUAACGCAUUAAGUGCCCCGCCUGGGGAGUACGGUCGCAAGCUAAAACUUAAAUGAAUUGACGG